AAAUUAACUUUUAUGCUUUUCCAUUCUCUUUAAUUAUGUUGUUUUAAUGGAGCUUAGCAGCUGUAUAUCACUCAGUGAUUAGAAAUCUUAUCCCAAUACAUGUAGCAUUCAUGUAAAAUUGAAGAAGAAUUGUAAAAGAUUGCUUAAAAAAACCCACCUUUGAACCAAUAAUUGCUUCAAGUGCACCCUAGAAAUUAAAUUAAAACUAUUAAAGAUCAAGGACAUGCCACAAUUACAAUGUUCUAGUUGCACCAAUUCCAAUGUACAAAUUGAUUAAAGGAUAAGAAUUUGUAACGUUGAUCUAUCAGACUAAAAUGUGUGUUUUUACUUGGUUAUGAAGCUAGGCUUUGCGAAUUGUGACUCACAUUCUCAAGCCUGUAAGGGAUAGGGAUUUUGCAAGUAUAAAAACAUCAGUAUCUACUGUUGAGAUGAGUUUUCAAAAUGUAUAGCAUAUUCAUCCUAUUUUCUAGAUAUAAAUACAUUUUUUAUCCUAAUUGUAACAUUAACAUAUAAAUACACAAUUUAUUAUUCUUUCAUUAUUACCAAGAAUUGUAUGUUGAAUACAUCAUAAAAUGACUCUAAGUAUCAUUAAUGUGUAUGUUCGCUCAUCUUCACGCUAAUAGCAGGGAACAAAAGUUUCAAGUCUCAAAGUGAGGUGCCUUUUUCUAGGUUGCAACCUUCCAUUUAGCUUGUUUGAAAAUUCUGUGGCGAUAUCUAUCUAGUGAAAUUCCAAGAAGUUAUUGAAGCCAUCCCUUUACUCCAGAAAAUCAUUUAGGUAGUUCAUCAUUUUUCAAGUCAAACUCUUGCUUCUUCAAGAUAAUACUUUUGACGUUAAAUUGUCUUCUUAAGGUACUGUUUCGCACAUUGAACUCUCUUAUGAUAUUUUAAUGCC
This is a long non-coding RNA of Pistacia vera, 892 nucleotides long. RefSeq lists it as uncharacterized. The record is from RefSeq and is a predicted model, not a curated record. The transcript is spliced from 3 exons. Lineage: Eukaryota; Viridiplantae; Streptophyta; Magnoliopsida; Sapindales; Anacardiaceae.